UACGGAGGGUGCGAGCGUUAAUCGGAAUUACUGGGCGUAAAGCGUGCGUAGGCGGCCAUUUAAGUCGGAUGUGAAAUCCCCGAGCUUAACUUGGGAAUUGCAUUCGAUACUGGGAGGCUGGAGUAUGGGAGAGGAUGGUAGAAUUCCAGGUGUAGCGGUGAAAUGCGUAGAGAUGUGGAGGAAUACCAAUGGCGAAGGCAGCCAUCUGGCCUAAUACUGACGCUGAGGUACGAAAGCAUGGGGAGCAAACAGG
RNAcentral lists this unclassified non-coding RNA (253 nucleotides) under uncultured Moraxellaceae bacterium. RNAcentral's name for it is "contains 16S-23S intergenic spacer region". It matches the Rfam family "Bacterial small subunit ribosomal RNA", at positions 524 to 776 of the family's 1533-position model. The record is from RNAcentral. Lineage: Bacteria; Pseudomonadati; Pseudomonadota; Gammaproteobacteria; Moraxellales; Moraxellaceae.